UACGGGGGGAGCAAGCGUCGUUCGGAUUUACUGGGCGUAAAGGGCGCGUAGGCGGCGCAACAAGUCACUUGUGAAAUCUUCAGGCUUAACCUGAAGCGGCCAAGUGAUACUGUCGUGCUAGAGUGCGGAAGGGGCAACUGGAAUUCUUGGUGUAGCGGUGAAAUGCGUAGAUAUCAAGAGGAACACCUGCGGCGAAGGCGGGUUGCUGGGCCGACACUGACGCUGAGGCGCGAAAGCUAGGGGAGCGAACGGG
RNAcentral lists this ribosomal RNA (253 nucleotides) under uncultured bacterium. RNAcentral describes it as "partial 16S ribosomal RNA". It matches the Rfam family "Bacterial small subunit ribosomal RNA", at positions 524 to 776 of the family's 1533-position model. The record is from RNAcentral.